GACGAACGCUGGCGGCGUGCUUAACACAUGCAAGUCGAACGGAAAGGCCCUGCUCUUGUGGGGUGCUCGAGUGGCGAACGGGUGAGUAACACGUGAGUAACCUGCCCUUGACUUUGGGAUAACUUCAGGAAACUGGGGCUAAUACCGGAUAGGAGCUCCUGCUGCACGGGGGGGGUUGGAAAGUUUCGGCGGUUGGGGAUGGACUCGCGGCUUAUCAGCUUGUUGGUGGGGUAGUGGCUUACCAAGGCUUUGACGGGUAGCCGGCCUGAGAGGGGGACCGGCCACAUUGGGACUGAGAUACGGCCCAGACUCCUACGGGAGGCAACAGUGGGGAAUAUUGCACAAUGGGCGGAAGCCUGAUGCAGCAACGCCGCGUGCGGGAUGCCGGCCUUCGAGUUGUAAACCGCUUUCGCCUGUGCCGAAGCGUGAGUGACGGUAAUGGGUAAAAAAGCACCGGCUAACUACGUG
RNAcentral lists this ribosomal RNA (468 nucleotides) under uncultured bacterium. RNAcentral describes it as "partial 16S ribosomal RNA". It matches the Rfam family "Bacterial small subunit ribosomal RNA", at positions 28 to 507 of the family's 1533-position model. The record is from RNAcentral.